UCCUUAUAUAGCGCAAUUGAGAGCACUUUGGACUUCUAAUCCAAAGGUCGUGGGUUCAAAUCCCACUUGGAU
Molecule: non-coding RNA, 72 nt
Organism: Trichonephila clavata
Lineage: Eukaryota; Metazoa; Arthropoda; Arachnida; Araneae; Nephilidae
Source: the annotation of a GenBank genome assembly